AAGAGUAGUAGUUCAAUUUUAGAAUCUUGCUUUGUGGUUGCAAAGGUAUACAAUUAUAUGUAUCUCUCUUC
This 71-nucleotide transfer RNA is filed under the name Discocelis tigrina. RNAcentral's name for it is "tRNA-His". Lineage: Eukaryota; Metazoa; Platyhelminthes; Polycladida; Discocelidae. The record is from RNAcentral.